AUAGUUCACUUCAAUAAUUAUCACUGCUACCAUGGAAACAGUACAGAGUAGAUUCACAUGACCUCUGCGCAGGGAUAAUAUAUAAGUGUGGGAGGUUACCCUCACUUCU
This 109-nucleotide small nuclear RNA is filed under the name Microtus ochrogaster (prairie vole). The record is from RNAcentral. Lineage: Eukaryota; Metazoa; Chordata; Mammalia; Rodentia; Cricetidae.